AGUCCCGAAGUAGCUGUAGUACAUUGGAUUGCAAAUCCAAAGACGGAGGUUUAGCCCCUCCCGGGGCUU
This 69-nucleotide transfer RNA is filed under the name Mustelus griseus. RNAcentral's name for it is "tRNA-Cys". It matches the Rfam family "tRNA". Rfam says of the family: Transfer RNA (tRNA) molecules are approximately 80 nucleotides in length. Their secondary structure includes four short double-helical elements and three loops (D, anti-codon, and T loops). Further hydrogen bonds mediate the characteristic L-shaped molecular structure. tRNAs have two regions of fundamental functional importance: the anti-codon, which is responsible for specific mRNA codon recognition, and the 3' end, to which the tRNAs corresponding amino acid is attached (by aminoacyl-tRNA synthetases). tRNAs cope with the degeneracy of the genetic code in two manners: having more than one tRNA (with a specific anti-codon) for a particular amino acid; and 'wobble' base-pairing, i.e. permitting non-standard base-pairing at the 3rd anti-codon position. Lineage: Eukaryota; Metazoa; Chordata; Chondrichthyes; Carcharhiniformes; Triakidae. The record is from RNAcentral.